Molecule: long non-coding RNA, 659 nt
Organism: Scylla paramamosain (green mud crab)
Lineage: Eukaryota; Metazoa; Arthropoda; Malacostraca; Decapoda; Portunidae
Exons: 5
Source: RefSeq, a predicted model, not a curated record
GAGCUCUGCAUCGAACACUUUUAUUUGAACCUGGACUGAAGCAAAGAGCGGCAGACGCAACGGAGACACGAAGUUGGGUGCUGUGAGUGGCUGCUGCACGACAUCCAGAGCGGAGGGCUGGGCUGUCUGCCUCAUCUUUACUGGCGCGACAGCAGGCACUAGGAAACGAGGAGAAAUGUGGUGCAUUCAUCUCCACGGCUGCGUCACAUGUGAUACCAAGCUAUGAAAGUAAUGUGUUCGAGCAUCUGAGGAAGAGAGAUGUGCAAGCAACGGCAGCUACGAAAUGAACAUGGUGGUGAGGACAACAGUGGUCGCAGGCGGAGGAGGUACUACAAGUAGAGAUGUGGAAUAUGAGGAUACAAGACAAGUGAGUCAGUCGUCUUAGCGAGAGUGUAAGAUGGAAGAAAGAAAUGGACGAUACCUGGUUUCGCUGUGUGUAAUGAGGACGACGGGUAACUAACUGAUUUUGUAAGGCGGUGGUGCCGCCGCCAUCUACGCCUACGAAAUUUCAUGCUUGCGGACCUGUGCGGUGCCAACAGCCAGCCGUGCGGAUUCUGAGGCAUGGACACGACACCACCACGAAUAUAAAGGGGGGGGGGUGCCUUUCAGUAAGAUCCCUCUCCUCCCCUUCUUCCUCUGUUGACGUUUUUCCAUUUUCA